UGAAAUUUACCAUGGUCUUAGAGUUUGCAAACAUGAAGAACAAGAUAUGGAACUUCUUAACAUUAGCGCCCCAGAAAACAAAAUAUGAAACUUCUAUAAACCCAUAAAAAUCUUAUCUAAGCAUAAGUAAACGUUUAACUUUUUCUGAAUAUAAGUAAAUGUUUAACUUAUCUUCGCAAGUCCAUCUUUACAAGUUUACAACCUUUUACAUCGAAUUAUCAGAUGUAACAGGUCAUUCGGUUAGGUUGUGUCUCCGAU
RNAcentral lists this long non-coding RNA (258 nucleotides) under Brassica napus (rape). RNAcentral's name for it is "long non-coding RNA (BNAP_LNC025435)". Lineage: Eukaryota; Viridiplantae; Streptophyta; Magnoliopsida; Brassicales; Brassicaceae. The record is from RNAcentral.